CUGUAGGUGAGGUUGCGGGCAAGCGGGAGGCGGCAGCGAACGCUCUGCAGGACGCGCGGCCGCUCCUGGCCGGGGAAACGGAAGGCAGGAUGUAGCUGAUGUGCUUAUUCUUUGCCCUUGGUGCAAACUUCUAGUGUGGAUGUAGAGUGCCAUCUUCACCUAAGAAGGUGAAACUGCCCCAUGUCAAUCAUUCAGGAGGUUGCACCGCGUCCUACAAGUGGAAUCCAGCCCGGGUGGCCUCAAGCCCCUCGAUCCCUCCCCGGGCAGCUCAUCGUCUACCUCGCAGCAGCCGGGCUGCGCCCGGAGCCCACUCACCCUUAGCCAAAGGCGGCGCGGCGCCUUCGAGUUCUGCGGCACCCCGGGGACAGACGCAAGGCCCCGAGAAACCUGGGUGUUGCAAGUCUCAGGUCAGACUCCGAGGCGUCCCGGUCUAAAGAGGCGCUUUGUCUUUCACCUAAUUCAACAGACCCUGGAUUUCCCUGAGGGCGCAAUCCCGUCGGCGGAUCGCAGCCCUUCCCCGCCUCACCGUGCUUUCCCUGCGCUUCAAUCCAACCGGUCCCCCGCCCGACCGGUGGCUAUCCUCCGUCACCUCGUCGUCGUGGGCCUCCCUCUUGGGCCCCAAGAGGGGCCGCGGGAAUCUACAGCACCUCUGACACAACUCGCCGCCCGGCCUUUGCCCAGGCGCCGCGCCACCCGGCACGCACCAUGACCCUGCCAUUCGCCCGCCACACCGACGAGCAGAAACGCCCUAACAUCUGCUGAGAAAAUCCCUUCCCACGGC
Molecule: long non-coding RNA, 781 nt
Filed under: Equus asinus (donkey)
Lineage: Eukaryota; Metazoa; Chordata; Mammalia; Perissodactyla; Equidae
Description: lncRNA (ENSEASG00005028522.1)
Source: RNAcentral